This 61-nucleotide transfer RNA is filed under the name Quernocoris caliginosus. RNAcentral's name for it is "tRNA-His". Lineage: Eukaryota; Metazoa; Arthropoda; Insecta; Hemiptera; Miridae. The record is from RNAcentral.
UUUGAGUAGUUUAUUUAGAAUUAUAAUUUGUGGUAUUAUAGGUGGAUGUUUUCCUCAAAUC